Molecule: ribosomal RNA, 392 nt
Filed under: uncultured bacterium
Lineage: Bacteria
Description: bacterial SSU rRNA
Rfam family: Bacterial small subunit ribosomal RNA
Source: RNAcentral
UACGUGAGGGGCGAACGUUGUUCGGUGUCACUGGGCUUAAAGCGCGCGCAGGCGGCCAUGCAAGUAAGGUGUGAAAUCCCCCGAUCCAAUCGGGGAAUGGCGCCUUAUACUGCACGGCUCGAGGUCCGGAUGGGUUGGAGGAACUCUAGGUGUAGCGGUGAAAUGCGUAGAUAUCUGGGGGAAGGCCGGCGGCGAAGGCGUCCAACUGGCCGAGACCUGACGCUGAGGCGCGAAAGCGUGGGGAGCAAACAGGAUUAGAUACCCUGGUAGUCCACGCCCUAAACGAUGGGUGCUAAGUGGGAGGCCACCCAAGGCUUCCUGCCGCAGGGAAACCGUUAAGCACCCCGCCUGGGGAGUAUGGUCGCAAGGCUGAAACUCAAAUGAAUUGACGG